This 77-nucleotide transfer RNA is filed under the name Pseudomonadota bacterium. RNAcentral's name for it is "Proteobacteria bacterium tRNA-Arg". It matches the Rfam family "tRNA". From Rfam's summary of the family: Transfer RNA (tRNA) molecules are approximately 80 nucleotides in length. Their secondary structure includes four short double-helical elements and three loops (D, anti-codon, and T loops). Lineage: Bacteria; Pseudomonadati; Pseudomonadota. RNAcentral also lists the same sequence under 3 other names. The record is from RNAcentral.
GGGCGGGUAGCUCAGUUGGAUAGAGUGUUGGCCUCCGAAGCCAAAGGUCGUGGGUUCGAUUCCCGCUCCGCCCACCA